CAAACUGAAGAUGGCGACCGGCGCACGGGUGAGUAACACGUAUCCAACCUGCCGAUGACUCGGGGAUAGCCUUUCGAAAGAAAGAUUAAUACCGGAUAGUAUACGAAUAUCGCAUGAUAUUUUUAUUAAAGAAUUUCGGUUAUCGAUGGGGAUGCGUUCCAUUAGUUUGUUGGCGGGGUAACGGCCCACCAAGACUACGAUGGAUAGGGGUUCUGAGAGGAAGGUCCCCCACAUUGGAACUGAGACACGGUCCAAACUCCUACGGGAGGCAGCAUG
This 276-nucleotide ribosomal RNA is filed under the name uncultured bacterium. RNAcentral describes it as "partial 16S ribosomal RNA". It matches the Rfam family "Bacterial small subunit ribosomal RNA", at positions 77 to 353 of the family's 1533-position model. The record is from RNAcentral.